GGCUCUGCGCGCCCGGAACCUGCGUCGCUCGCUCCCCCCAGACUCCGCCUACCCCGUCCCUGGCUCCACCACCCGGGAACUGCACCAGCUGCCCCGGGCUCCGCCCCGAGGACCUGUGUGGCCCUCCGAGCGCCGGCUCCUCCCCCGAAGCUUGCCCGCGGGACUGGUCCAGUCGCUUCGCCUCAGGCCCCUGCCCUGGCCCAAGCGAGCCCGCCAUGGAGGGGGAUGUGCCCGCCGCUGCAGCCGCCCGCUACCAGCCGGCCAGCCCCCCGCGGGACGCCUGUGUCUACAACAGCUGCUACUGUGAAGAAAAUAUUUGGAAGCUCUGUGAAUACAUCAAAAAUCAUGACCAGUAUCCUUUAGAAGAGUGUUAUGCUGUCUUCAUAUCUAAUGAGAGGAAGAUGAUACCUAUUUGGAAACAACAGGCAAGACCUGGAGAUGGACCUGUGAUCUGGGAUUACCAUGUUGUCCUGCUUCAUGUUUCAAGUGGAGGACAGAGCUUCAUUUAUGAUCUUGACACUGUGCUGCCAUUUCCCUGUCCUUUUGACACUUAUGUGGAAGAUGCCUUUAAGUCUGAUGAGGACAUCCAUCCACAGUUCAGAAGGAAAUUUAGAGUGAUCCGUGCAGAUUCAUAUUUGAAGAACUUCGCUUCUGACCGAUCUCACAUGAAAGAUUCCAGUGGGAACUGGAGGGAACCUCCUCCUUCGUACCCCUGCAUUGAAACUGGAGAUCCUCUGCCUUGUGCUAUGGCGGGAUACCUGCAGCCGUUACUCAAGAAUCAGUCAAAGGAAAUGUCAUAUAUCCGUUUGGGUCAGCUGACCAGGAGGAUUCUGGGAGAAAAAUGACCUCGGAAGCUGCUGGUUGAAGAUAGCAGAGCCACCAUCAGCCUGGACCCCCAAAUGACCCUAAGGAGCCGUCCUACACCUACUUGAAAAGUAUGAUGUGGAACUGAUCCUCAAAGACAAAACCUGUGUAUUUCUUUGGAAGUCACAGAAUUAUUGGAGAAUAGAUGCUCCGUGAGGAUUUGUUGAAAGAAGACAUAGAGUGAGAGGAAGAGGGAGGAAGGAGGAAGAGUGGGCAGUUGGGUGCAUGACCUUGGGGAGCAAGAAAGUGAUUCUUCAGGCAUCUUGACAUGGGACAUGAGAGUGACUUGCCUUGGAGGAAGCCAUGAUGAAAGUGUCAAAGACAGAAGACCCAGAGGAGGCAUAAUGACCAGGAUGCUGAUGCUCACAGAGGUCAUUCAGCGAGCAAGUGGACAAAGUAGGAUUCAUUCUCAGGACUAUUGGAGUCUAGAGCCCAUGCCCUUCACAGACAAGACUAUAGGUACCCUCCUACCCACCCCUUUGCUGACUAUGCCUUCCCUCCACCAGGACUGAAACUCCAAUUUUGACACUCUGGAGAGCAAACCAGGGCCUAGGAACUACACUGUUGGUUGCAGGUCAGGAGAGAGUAGACUAAAAUGGGCCAUCCUUUGACUGCCUUCUCUAAGUCUUAGGGUCUUGCUUCCCCAUGGCACAGAGGAGGCUUAAAGUGCAUUUUAAUGAAUGCAUUCUGCUCUCUUGGUACACAAGGGGGAGCAUUUAGCACAGGAAUGGGAAUAAGAUCGCUGCAGAAAGUAUCCUUGCUCUUUGUAGGAAAAGAGUUCUCUCUCUUUCUCUCUCUCUCUCUCACUCAAAAUUGUUUUCUGAACCCUUUGAAAGCAAGUUGCAGAUAUCAGGAGACUGCCUAUAAAUACUACGGCAGGAUUUCCUAAGAACAAAGUCAUUUUUCUGUAUAAUCACAAUGUUAUUUUCAUGUCUAGGAGAUUUAACAUUGAGGCAAUGAUAUUAUAUAAUACCCAUUCUAUAUUCAAAUUUUUCCAAAUAUUCCCAAGAUGGCCUUUAGUGCUUCCCCCACCUCCCAGUCCCGAAUUAACAUUGUAUUCUCUCAGUAUUAGAACAUGGUCUAAUAUGGUCCAGAAUAUUUUGAUGCAAAAUGUUCGCAAUUUUUACUGGCUAUUUAAUAUUCCAUGGAGCUGAUUUGCCAUGAUUUAUUAAUAAAUAUCUCUUUGGUUA
Molecule: RNA transcript, 2054 nt
Organism: Lutra lutra (Eurasian river otter)
Lineage: Eukaryota; Metazoa; Chordata; Mammalia; Carnivora; Mustelidae
Gene: NTAQ1
Gene name: N-terminal glutamine amidase 1
Exons: 9
Source: RefSeq, a predicted model, not a curated record